RNAcentral lists this microRNA precursor (204 nucleotides) under Oryza rufipogon (brownbeard rice). Its description in RNAcentral is "MIR812 microRNA precursor family". It matches the Rfam family "MIR812 microRNA precursor family". The record is from Rfam by way of RNAcentral. Lineage: Eukaryota; Viridiplantae; Streptophyta; Magnoliopsida; Poales; Poaceae.
AAUAGAUGACGCCAUUGACUUUUUUUUCACAUGGUUUGACCAUUCGUCUUAUUCAAAAAAUUUACGUAAUUAUAAUUUAUUUUGUUAUGAGUUGUUUUAUCACUCAUAAUACUUUGUGUGAUUUAUAUCUUAUACAUUUGCUUAAAAUUUUUGAAUAAGACGAAUGGUCAAACCUGUGAGAAAAAGUCGACGAUGUCAUCUAUU